This 5961-nucleotide long non-coding RNA is filed under the name Marmota monax (woodchuck). The record is from RNAcentral. Lineage: Eukaryota; Metazoa; Chordata; Mammalia; Rodentia; Sciuridae.
AAGGUGACAUUGCAGUGCAGUGAGAAAAGGGUGAUCUUUUUAAAAUAUCCUCCUGGGUCAUUGAAUAUACAUACAAGAAAAGAAUAUUUUUACUCUUACCUUGCACCAUACACAAAAAUUACUUCCAAAUGGAUGGCUUAAUGUAGAUGUGAAAAGUUUAAAGCAAUUAAGUAAAAAAACUUAGUGACCUUGGAGUAGACAAAACUUUUCUAAUAACCAAAUGAAGGGAAGGUUUUUACAGUAAAAUUAAGCUUUUAAUGCAUCAAAGACUCAUGAAGGUGAAGGCAACUAACAAUUGGAUAUAUAAACACAUCCAUCAACCCAGCAAUAUAAAAUAUCCAACAAAAACUCAUUCAAGAUAUAUCAAGAAGUCAUAAAAUUGGUGUUACAGUUUGGAUGAGAUGUCCCCCAAAAGCUCCUAUUAAUGCAAGAGUAUCCACAGGUAAGAUGAUUAGAUUAUGAGAGUGGUGACCUGAUUGGUUCCUCCUAGUUUGGAUCCACUGGAUGUAACUGUUGGCAUGUGGGACAAGGCUGGAGGAAGUGGGUCACUUGGGAUGUGCCCUGAAACCGGGGGAGGGCGGGAUUUUGUUCUUCCUGUGCCCCCUCUGCCUGACCAUGCAUUGAGAAGCUUUCCUCCAUUGUCAUCUAUCAUGAUGUGCUGCCUUACUUUGGGCCCAGAACAGUGGAAUUGGUAGUCUAUGAACUGAGACCUCUGAAGUCAUGAGCCCCAAGUAAACUUUUCUAAGUUGUUCUUAUUGCAUAUUUUAACAUAUUGACACAAAAGCUGACUAAAACAAUUAAAAAAAUAAAGCUUUAUAUAUAAACAUUGGCAAAAAAUAACCCAAAUGGCCAAUGAAUAUUGGGUCAUUGAAUAUACAUACAGGGGAAGAAUAUACAUGGGGUAUAUUCAUUGGGUAAAAAAUAUACACUGCAGAUACACACACACACACAUUGGGUUUAUAUACCCAAGUAGGUUCUCUACUUAAAUCAGGUUGCAACUAUGUACAUCCACACAAUAUCAUAUCAUACCAUACCACUGCAUGUUUCCCCCUACAGUGGGUGAAAUGAAGAAGAUAACAAGUGUUGGCAGAGAUAUGGAACAUUUGCUAUUAUUGGGAGGAUAGAAUAGUAAAAACACUGGAAAACUGGAAGUUUUAAAUCUUAAUAUAUCAUAGGGCUUAGCAAUUCCACCGAGACAGAGACCCAGGAGAAAUGGGUACAGAGGUUCCACCCAAAGGCAUGUGUUCCUAUAAACAUCUAUACCAGCACAAUGUUAAUAGCUGAUGUAGGAAACUACUCAAAUGCCCAUUGAAAUUAAAAUGAACAUAUCAAUUGUGGCAUGUUCACAUAGUGGAAUGCUACAUAAUACUGAAAAUAAAUGCUUUAUGACUACAACAAAAUGGUAGAAGCUAUUUAAUAUACAAUAAUGUGUAAAAGAAGCCAACACAAGAGUACAUACUAUACAAUCCCGUUAAUGUCAAUCACAAAAAUGAAAGUUCUGCUAGAAGUUUAGGAUGGCAUUUACCCUUGGGAGGGGAAAGAUUUGGUUCUGGAAUGUCUCUCAAAGGCCUGUGGUUAAAGGCUUGAUCACCAACCUAUGGCACUAUUUGAAAGGGGUAUAACCUUUAGAAGGUGGUGUAGUGGAAGGAAAUCAGGUCAUUGGGGGUGUGUCCUUAAAGUGGGUACUGGAAUCCCAGCCCCUUGUUUCUUUGCUUCCUGGUUCCUUCCAUAGGUAGACAGGUUUUCUCUGCUGCCCCCUCCUACCACCAUACCACCAUAUGUCCAAAGCAAUGGAGACAACUGAUGGCAGAUCGAAACCUCUGAAACUGAGCCAAAAUAAACUACUUCCUUUUAAGUUGAUUAUUGCAGAUAUUUUUCACCUCAACAGAAAGAUAAUUAACACACUGGCUGGAAAGUAGUACUAACUUUUCCUUCUUGGAACAAAAAUAGGCCAAGCAGGCAAGGUUGCAGUGCUAUAAUCUGCUUUGAUCUUGUUCUCUAUAAAACUUGAGGCUCUAAUUGCUUCAAUUUUGUGUUAUAUAGAUUAUAUUUAAGUUACAAAUUAUAUAUACUAGUAUGAAGAUCUUGUGUCAUUAAAUUGUCACUUAAAUGGAUGCUAAUUUAAUAAUACAAAAACAGGAACAAUUUUUUAAAACUAGUUUGUACUCAUUGCCUAUGUUGCAACUGUAUAUGCCACUUUGCUACAAAUUGAAUUUUUAGGUUUUUAGUAAUAAAAAGCUAUCCCUGUCACAGAUAUCUUGAGGAAGUGCCUGCCAAAACGUGCAGUUUUGUUGCUAGAGUACUUGAGCACGAUUCUUGUCACAUAGAUGAUCAGUGAUAGAUGUUGUGAAAUGCACACUGAGUGACUUAAUGAUGCUUCAAAACAGUUAAUUCAGAUUUACUGGGAUCCACUGGGGCUUCGCCUUGGUACCCACUGAGAUCCAACAACCUGGUGUAAGGAGAUCUCUAGUUUCAGAUUAGUUCAACAUGUUUUAUAAUCAUAGCAUUAUUUCAUCAGCACAAUUGGAACAGUAUGAAAUAUGCUGCCUGUCUCCCAAAUAUUAUGUGGUACAUACUUACACUAAAAAAAUUAGUUUUACCUGAAAUACAAAAUCAUCUUACUCUAUUUUAUUUGCUAAAUCUGUUGACCCUAUGUGAAUGACAUUUGCUGCCAAAAAGUAGUUGUGGUUUUUUUGCACAUAAGUAUUAUUUUUAUUAUUUUUUUGCAAAUACCAAUGAAUUCCCUAUUAAUAGAGCUCUGUGCUACUUCCAGUCUUUGCUAGUAUAAACAAUGCCACAUUGUACUAUCUGUGUUUGUGACAUUUCUUGGCUUCACCAAUGUGUCUUGAGGAUAUAUUUCUUUACUAUUAUUAUUAUUUACUUAUAUAUGACAGCAGAAUGCAUUACAAUUCUUAUACAUAUAGAGCACAAUUUUUCGUAUCUCUGCUUGUAUAUAAAGUAUAUUCACACCAGUUCGUGUCUUCAUACAUGUACUUUGGAUAAUAAUGUCCAUCACAUUCCACCAUCAUUAAUAACCCAUGCCCCCUCCCUUUCCCUCCAACCCCUUUGCCCUAUCUAGAGUUCGUCUAUUCCUCCAUACCCCACUAUGAAUCAGCCUACUUCUAUCAGAGAAAAUAUUUGGCAUUUGAUUUUGGGGGAUUGGCUAACUUCAUUUAGCAUUAUCUUCUCUAACUCCAUCCAUCUACCUGCAAAUGCCAUGAUUUUAUUCUCUUUUACUGCUGAGUAAUAUUCCAUUGUGUAUAUAUGCCACAUUUUUUUUAUCCAUUCAUCUAUUGAAGGGUAUCUAGAUUGGUUCCAUAGUUUAGCUAUUGUAAAUUGUGCUGCUAUACACAUUGAUGUGGCUGUGUCCCUGUAGUAUGCUGUUUUUUAAGUUCUUUGGGUGUAGACCAAGGAGAGGGAUAGCUGGGUCAAAUGGUGGUUUCAUUCCCAAUUUUCCAAGAAAUCUCCAUACUGCUUUCCAUAUUGGCUGCACCAAUUUGCAGCCCUACCAGCAAUUUAUGAGUGUAUCAUUUUCCCCACAUCCUCACCAACACUUAUUAUUGUUUGUCUUCAUAAUAGCUGCCAUUCUGACUGGAGUGAGAUGAAAUCUUAGAGUAGUUUUGAUUUGCAUUUCUCUAAUUGCUAGCGAUGAUGAACAUUUUUUAAUAUAUUUGUUGAUUGAUUGUAUAUCAUCUUCUGAGAAGUGUCUGUUCAGAUCCUUGGCCCAUUUAUUGGUUGUUUUUUGUUUGUUUGUUUUUGUGUGUGUGUGUGUGUGCUUAGCUUUUUGAGUUUUUUGUAUACCCUACAGAUUAGUGCUGUAUCUGAUGUGUGAGGGGUAAAGAUUUGCUCCUAAGAUGCCAAGAUGUAGGCUCUCUAUUCACCUCACAGAUUGUUUCUUUUGCUGAGAAGAAACUUUUUGGUUUGAGUUCAUGCCAUUUAUUGAUUCUUGAUUUUAAUUAUUAUGCCAAAAGAGUCUUAUUAAGGAAGUUGGGGCCUAACCCCACAUGAUGGAGAUUAGGGCCUACUUUUUCUUCUGUUAUACACAGGGUCUCUGGUUUUAUUCCUAGGUCCUUGAUCCAUUUUGAGUUGAGUUUUGUGCAUGGUGAGAGAUAGGGGCUUAAUUUCAUUUUACUGCAUAUGGAUUUCCAGUUUUCCCAGCACCAUUGUUGAAGAGGCUAUCUUUUCUCCAAUGCAUGUUUUUGGCACCUUUGUCUAAUAUAAGUUAAUUGUAAUUUUGUGAGUUAGUCUCUGUGUCCCCUAUUCUGAACUAUUGGUCUACCAGUCUGUUUUGGUGCCAAUACCACGCUGUUUUUGUUACUAUUGCUCUGUAGUAUAGUUUAAGGUCUUGUAUAGUGAUGUCACCUGCUUCACUCUUCCUGCUAAGAAUUGCUUUAGUUAUUCUGGAUCUGUUAUUUUUUGAGAUGAAUUUCAUGAUUGUUUUUUUUCUAUUUCUAUGAGGAAUGCCAUUGGGAUUUUGGUAUGGUAGUAUGGUCAUUUUAAUAAUAUUAAUUCUGCCUCUCCAAGAGCAAGGUAGAUCUUUCCAUCUUCUAAGUUCAGUAGUUGUUUUUAAUGGUAAGAAACUUACAGGACCAAACUAAAAAAAAAAAAAAAAUUAAAGACCAGUACCUACUGAAGUUAUAAAGGGUACACACUUUGAAUACUCUGGAAAAUCAACACAUUCAGGAUUAAACAAUACCUCCAUGGCUUAUCAGCUGUUUAUAAUUUCAAUUUUUCCCUUUGAUUGUUCAUGAUCACUGUUUGUUUAUCACUAUUUUAUCUCUCAUGUUUGUUUUUAAAAUGUGACUUAGAUCUUCAAUAUUAAAAUUGACAAUACUUUUGAAGACUUUAAUUUUCCAUAUUUCUAUUAGAUUACACAAGGACAUGAAAUUCAUUUCUCGUUUGCUUACAUAGCAUGUGGCUUCAUUUACCCUUGUUUAAAUUUAUUUUAAGUAAUACAAACUCCAUCUCCAAUGUCACACAAUCUUAAUUGUCAAUUUUAAGGUUUGUUGCCAUCCGAACUGAAUUAAGUGACUAUUAGGGUCAAAAGGAAGACAUAGUUCUGGCACAGUAAACAAGCUUGGAAAGAGAAAGGGAAAGUAUGUUUAUUACAGUGUAACUAAGUUAUAGCAAUAAGAUUUGUCCUAUAUUAAGCCCGGGUGAGUUAAAAUACCUUCUCAGAGUCAAGUGGUCACUCAUGGGAAAUAAAUUAAUUCUCCUGAGACCCUGGAGCAUGAAUUAGUGAUCUGGAAGAGGGAAUUAAUCUCAAAUGGAUGAGCACUUGGCUUUGAAAUUGCUCUCUAUUUAUAGUUCUCUUAGAAUCAAAUUUAGAUCGAACCCACAGCAUAGUUUUAUGCAGAUAAACCAAACUCCACAUUGAUUCAAAACAAUAAUGUCUCCAAGUGGUAAAAAUAAUUUUAGCCUAUUGAAAAAAAAACUUUUGUGUGUAUGUGUGUAUGACAAUGAACACACCAAGUCCCCCCCAGAAAAUUAGAGGUGAGGCUGAAAAGUGAAGAAGCAGCAAGUAUUAUUUAUUGCUUUCAAAACUAUUGAUCCACUUCUGAAAUUAAUCCUAUUUUUCGUUUUUAAAGUUUUAUUUUCACAGGCAACUUAAAGAUUCGUAAAAGCCUAAUUAGAUAGUUAAUUUUCUCACAUUGUAUUAUGAAGGAUAACUGAAAAAAAGAUUAACUCCAUAAAUUACAUGUAAGUAUCAAUCCCAUUUCCUUUUCCAUCAUUUAGAUAAAAGACACUCAGAGUUGUAAGUUUUGGUUGGUUAUAAACCAACUAACUAGCAGAAGGAGCUAUGGCAAGUUCGGGAUUACCUUUGGCUGUUGGACUUCCCGCUACAUUCCUCCAUUUCAUAGUGGAAAAUAAUCUAAUUCUAACAAUGAGUGUCCUUUUAAUGAAUAUACAUAUGAAUAUAUAUAUAUAUAUAUAUAUAUAUAUAUAUGUAUACACACUCAC